This 3304-nucleotide long non-coding RNA is filed under the name Homo sapiens (human). Its description in RNAcentral is "HSALNT0313696". Lineage: Eukaryota; Metazoa; Chordata; Mammalia; Primates; Hominidae. The record is from RNAcentral.
AAACGGACCUGGAAAUGCCGAGAUGUCCCAGGAAGUCUGGAGCUGAUGGAGCCCGUGUCCAUCUCACCAAGACCUUAAAUAUAAUGCAGAGUCCCUGCUGCAAAUCCAUUCCCAUCCGUGCUUUGAGACGGAAGGAGGGAAAUUGCAGCUAUUUACAGCAACCACCAUCUGAGCAAGGACUGAUUCAUGCAGUACCUCGGGGAAGCUAGGUUGGAAACCCUUGUCAACAUGCAGUCAAGUCUAUGGUUAGAACUGGCCAGUGUGCGCCCUGCAUCUGCGGGAGGGUCCGGGGGCCAUUUGGAAUUUGGUUUUUUUUUUGUUUGUCUGUUGUUUGUUUAUUUGUUUUUUAGCCCUCUCUCUAAGGGCUAAGGAUUCCAUCGAGGUAAGGAAUGGGCGGGAGUGAGUCCUAAGCGGGCGCUCCCGGAAGAGCGGCUGCGAGCAGCGGGGCCGCAGUUCGGCGGUAUGGAUCCUACCCCUGCCCGCCCCGAGCCGACCCGGGCUUGAUGAAGUCCCGGGCAGCCCGCGAGGCUGCAGUGUGUCACGCACCAGCUCCCGGCGGCGUCCUCUUCCCCGCCGCGCGCAGUAAUGGAUCUCUGCGUCCUAAAAGAGGAAGAUAAUGCCGGUGUUAGCUUAUAAAUAGAUGGUUGCAUGCUCUCCCUGCGAAGCAUUGAUUGAGGCCGCUAAGCUGACUAUUGAUCUAAUUUUAACUUACAUGUUCGCACGCACCCUCCCCGCCUCCCUGUCGCGGCUUGGUGGAGCGCGGGGCACGCUGUCUCUCGCGGCCGCCAGAGGGCGGGCCACUGGUCCUCCCGCCACCCUGCCCGUCUGGCCUCUCUGUUUACGCAGACGUACAAUGCUGGCCUUUAUUGGGUUUGAAAAAUAGGAGUUUGAUUUUCCUGCACCGGGAUGACCUCAUCACUCAUGAAAGUCGGAGGAAAGCGGGGAAUCGGAUGACAGGCAGCCGGGAAAAUAAAGCUUGCAUUUCACCUCCUCCCACUCCACCACCUACACAGAGUACUCGGGAUGUGCUUCUCAUUUUAAAACCACCUUGCCGAAGCCGGGAAGUGGGAGACGGCGGUAGGAGUGGAAUGUUAAAUUCUUCUUGGUACUCUGGCACUCGGUGUGCAGCGGCUUCUGUUUAGAAGGUUAAUGUCACCUACUCUCUGCCUACAGAGCCUCUUGUAAGGGCGCUCUCCUGAACUGUCACUAAAUGGCAAUGCAACAACAUUAUCUAGGAGUGACUUGACUAACAUAUUACUAAUUAUUUCUAGACAUAAUUCAUCUUGCCAAAGUUUAAGCAAUGGUCAUCAGCAAUUUUAUACUGCUGGCUUGUAAAUUUCAAAUCUGCUUAUGACUUCAAAUUAUUAAGGUAGGGAAUUACAGUCUAUCAUAGUUUUGCUUGCCGCCUUUUGGGACCACAGCACAUCAGGAUGGGGGUAUAGGGUAAAGUAAAUGAGAGGGAAAGGGAGACAGAAGACAAAGAAAGAUGCCUUCCCUGAAAUUCUCCAGCCCUAGAACUCAGCACGUGAACAAACUUUCCUCUGGGAUUCAGUGAAACAUAUUAAUAGGAGUCAAUGUUUAUCAGGCACUUGCUAUGUCCCAGGCAUUGUACUAACCGUUUUAUAUUUGUUACUUCAUUAAAUCCUCAAGACAACCUAUUGGUUAGAUUAUAUUAUUAUCCAUAUUUUAGAGUUGAAAAAAACUGAGGCAAGUUAGUUGCACAAAGUCGAUUAGCUAGAAAGGGACAAAACCAAGAUUCAAACCUCAGUAGAGACUGACCCAGAGCCUUGCUCCACAUCACCAUGUCGAGUGUCUUGACGACAUACCUCCCUUGGCAAAGUCUUAAACUCUCUGCAUCUCUAAGCAAAGGAGGGUGCGUGUGAAGAGAGAUGGCCACUUUCAAAUAAGGCCUAUCUAGGCUGAAAUGGAAAAGCUCUUCAUAGGGAGAGCUCUUGCAAAAGUGAAAAACGUACAAAGAAAUGAUCAUCCUCAGUGUUGCUCCUGAUAAUAGCUUAUAGGAUGGAAAUAAACCAGAAGAAGGAAACUUCCAUUAAGGGGACCUCACCUGGCUAUUCAUUCCACAAACAUUUGCAUACAGUGGACUGGCCAUUGUGGUUGGCACUGAAUUAUGGUAAUGAAGAAGACAGAAGUGCUCUAUCCCCUCAUGGAACCUCGUGAGAGAAAGGGGUUAUAACUAAGUGAACAAUCAAACACAUAAUUGUAAUUUGUGAUGAUUACAAAGGGGCCUGGUAUACUUCGGAGGAGGGAGUCAAGAAAGCCUGUCCGAGGAAAUGCCAUUUACACAGACAGAUACAGCAUGAGUAAGGGUUAGCCGGGUCCAGGAUGGGCCUGGGCAUAAUAUGGAGAGAUAUGAGGAAGCCUUGAGGAGGAAAUGGUGUUGGGGAAUGAGUGGGAGAGGAAGCUGGAGAGCUCACGUGGGAUCUGAUAAACCAGAGUAAAGAUUGGUGACAUCAUGUUAAAUGCAAUGGGAAUACCCCCUUAAGAGAUUCAAGAAUGAGAAUAAAGCGAUCCAAAUUGUAUUUUAGAAAGAUUGCUUUGUUUGCAGUGGGGAGAAUGGAUAGGAGGUAGGAUGAGGGAGUGAGUGUGGAGAGACUUCAGGAAGUUUGUGCACUAGCUCAGUGAGGAUUGAUAAAGGUUUGGACAAGGCCUGCCAUAGUGGAAAUUGAGAGAAGUGGAUAAGCUAUUUGCAGUUUGGUGAUGGAUUGGACAGGAUGACUGAUGGACAGAGCAAGGUCAAGGAUCUCUCCCAGUUUCUGGCUUGAGGCACUGGAUUGAAUGAGGCAUCAUUUACUAAUCCAGAUGACAUGAAAAGAGGAGCAAGCUCCAGAGGCAGACUAGGAGAUGAGGAGACACACAGAUGAAUGGCGGAAAGGUGAGGCAGAGAAAGAGAGAAGAGAAGGAGCAUCUGAAGGCUGAGAGGAGUUUGGCUGGGGACAGUCAGAGAGGAGUUUGGCAACUGGAUGGCCAAAAUCCAGGGUAAGAUCAUCUUCCCAUUCCCUUGCCACUUUCAGCUCCCCAUCCAUCCUGCUGAGAGCCACCUCUACCACUCAAUAAAACCCCUGCAUUCAUCCUUCAAGUCUGUGUGUGACCCAAUUCUUUUGGGAUGCCUGGGUACCAAGGGGCCAAUGAGCUGGUUAACACUUAAGCCAUCUGUGGAUGGCAGAGCUAAAACAGCAUUGUAACACUAGGGUUGCAGGCACCCACCCCUAGACGCUGCUGUGGGGCCAGAGCCCAAAAGUGCUCGCCCCAAUUCCUGCACCUGCCUGUCUGCAUACUCCCCCUC